CCUACUGGAGGCAGCAGUGGGGAAUAUUGGGCAAUGGGCGCAAGCCUGACCCAGCAACGCCGCGUGAAGGAAGAAGGCUUUCGGGUUGUAAACUUCUUUUGACAGGGAAGAGCAGAAGACGGUACCUGUCGAAUAAGCCACGGCUAACUACGUGCCAGCAGCCGCGGUAAUACGUAGGUGGCAAGCGUUGUCCGGAUUUACUGGGUGUAAAGGGCGUGUAGCCGGGCUGACAAGUCAGAUGUGAAAUCCGGGGGCUCAACCCCCGAACUGCAUUUGAAACUGUUGGUCUUGAGUAUCGGAGAGGCAGGCGGAAUUCCUAGUGUAGCGGUGAAAUGCAUAGAUAUCACGCAGAACCCCGAUUGCGAAGGCAGCAUACCGGUGCACAACUGACGCUCAGGCACGAAAGCGUGGGUAUCGAACAGGAUUAGAUACCCCAGUAGUC
RNAcentral lists this ribosomal RNA (442 nucleotides) under uncultured bacterium. RNAcentral's name for it is "partial 16S ribosomal RNA". It matches the Rfam family "Bacterial small subunit ribosomal RNA", at positions 338 to 795 of the family's 1533-position model. The record is from RNAcentral.